AUGCAGUGCGCGGCCGGCUGCCACACGGCUUGCAGCAGAUGCCAGAGCAAGCUCCCCGGCAAGCGGUGCCACUCGUGCGACCAGGGCGGCGCCUACGUCCGGUGCCCCGUGAUGGACGGCAUCGUCUGCUCCGCCAGGGUCCGGUGCGCCUACCACCAGCACGGCUGCCCGAGCUACGUGCCCUACUACGAGCCCCGCGACCACGAGAGCGUGUGCCCGCACGCGCCCUGCUCCUGCACGGAGCCCGGCUGCGCCUUCGUCGGCUCGCCGCGGCGCUUCCUCGCCCACCUCAUCGACGCGCACUCCUGGCCCGUGCACACCAUCCGCUACGGCACGCACCUCGGGCUCGGCGUGCGGGCGUCGGAGCCGCGGGUCCUGCUCGUCGCGGCGGAGGAGGACGAGGCCGUAUUCCUCCUGGCCAUCGGCGCGCUCGGGCCGGCCAGGGCCGUCUCGGUGGUGUGCGUGAGGGCCAACGGCGAGGCUGGUCAGCAGUACGGGCUCAAACUCUGGGCGCACGCCAGCAACGAGCGCGCCAUCACGCUGGACUGUGAAGUCACCAGCAGCGCUGCGCCGGGCGAGGUCGCCGUGGAGACGGUGGAGUUCUUGACGGUGCCGCCGGCCAAGAUGACUGGACCUCAGGCGGACAAGGAGAUGGUCAUCACUGUUUGCAUUGACAAGAGCUUCUGA
RNAcentral lists this ribosomal RNA (687 nucleotides) under Triticum aestivum (bread wheat). RNAcentral describes it as "partial small subunit ribosomal RNA". The record is from RNAcentral. Lineage: Eukaryota; Viridiplantae; Streptophyta; Magnoliopsida; Poales; Poaceae.